This is a long non-coding RNA of Neocloeon triangulifer, 680 nucleotides long. RefSeq lists it as uncharacterized. The record is from RefSeq and is a predicted model, not a curated record. The transcript is spliced from 3 exons. Lineage: Eukaryota; Metazoa; Arthropoda; Insecta; Ephemeroptera; Baetidae.
UCAGAGCCGAAGCUGUGCUCCCCAACAGGUCGCUUUAUCUGAUCUGCAGCGUGUGUAAACUGGCCGGCCUGGUGGCGCGUCAGUGCCGAAGCUGCUUCUCGUCCGCCAGCAGCACCCGCUUGUGCACCUGAUCGGAGCGCGAGUCAGCCGAGUGGGAGCGCUCGAUCUUCACUGCUGUCAGCCUAGGGAAAGCCUUGUAGAAUAAUUUGUUAAACUAACAGAAGGACGGCCGAUGAUGAUAAGAGCGACGAGUGCAUCAAGUGUGUGUGCACAACAGAGGAAGUGAUUCAAAAAGUCUUCGCCUACAUCUCCGGCGAUGACGCAAGCGGAGAAAAAUCGUCGCUGCCAUCCGAGUGUGCGGCGAUGGACGAGUCGGUGCGCGCGGCCCGCGUAGAUGGAGAUUAAUACAAAUCCUCGUAAAUAGUGUUUCCUUGAGCUGCGACAGAGAUAACAACGUGACAAUUUUGUAUCGAUAGCGACCCGCUGCGAGAACACCUUGUUUGCCAUCAGCGAGACGCAGAGAACUCGGAAACGAAGAGGCGCAGAACGGCGAGGAUCAGCAGAUUUAUCAGCCGAACAAAGCAGCCUGAUUGGAAAUUGCUUCUUUUCCAAGUCGUUGGAGGAAAAAUACAGAUGACUUUGGCAGAAAAAAGUAUACGCCAUGAAACACCACCUUCAAG